GAUGAACGUUGGCGGCGUGCCUAACACAUGCAAGUCGAGCGGAGAGGAAGAGGGUGAACUUUUCGGAGUAAAGUUUUUUCGGAGCGUCGGCCGAGGGGUAAGUAAUACAUAAGGAACCUUACCUCUACAAAGGGAUGGCCGGGGGAAGCCACGAUUACUACCUUAUGAGACCACGAGAGCGCAUGCUGGUGUGGUUUAAGCUUUAUCGGUAGCAGAUGGCCUCAUGACUCAUUAGCUAGUUGGUGAUUUAACAGACCACCAAGGCGUAGAUGGGUAGACGGCUUGAGAGAGUGAACUGCCACAGUGGAACUGACACACGGUCUAGACUACUAAGCGAUGGAGCAGUGUGGAAUAUGGCACAAUGCGGGAAACACCGAUGCAGCGACGUCGAGUGAGCGAAGAAGGCCUUCGGGUCGUAAAGCUCGGUCCUAAGGGAAGAAAAUGACGGUACCAUAGAAGGAAGCCCCGGCUAACUACGUG
This 480-nucleotide ribosomal RNA is filed under the name uncultured bacterium. Its description in RNAcentral is "partial 16S ribosomal RNA". It matches the Rfam family "Bacterial small subunit ribosomal RNA", at positions 28 to 507 of the family's 1533-position model. The record is from RNAcentral.